CAUGGCGUGCAUUUUGCGCGCGGACAUGCCUAGGCUUCGGCUUGGGUGUGCUCUCGUCCUUGCCUGUUUGUACCUUUUGUUGCUUCCUCGGCGGGAGUUUUCCCGCCGCUAGGAACCCCAAAACCACCUUGCAAUCAGCAGUCUAUUCUGAUAACAUACCUAAAUAUCUUA
RNAcentral lists this unclassified non-coding RNA (171 nucleotides) under uncultured fungus. RNAcentral describes it as "sequence contains ITS1, 5.8S rRNA gene". The record is from RNAcentral. Lineage: Eukaryota; Fungi.